CACAGCCUUGUUUUCUCUAGAUCAGAGAGAUGGCUUCUGGAUUCAUCUUUCCCUGCAAUCCAGCUUCUCCUCCUGGGGCCCUCAUACUGGAGACUGGGAUCAUCAUCCAGGCUUUUGCACUGGGCCAGGAAUUUGGGAGUCAUCCUGGAUCCGUCUGCCCCUGUCAACCUUUCGCUGUCAACGGAUAUUUAUUGGGCGUCCUCAACAGCCAGGCCCUGUUCAUGGUACUGAAGAACAGCUUGUAUAAAACAACCCUGCCCUCACAGGGCGAUCACCAGUGACCUGUGGUGUGGAGUCUCCUUUUACCUAUGUCUCCUCCUUCCCACUGUCACCAUCCUUGGUCCUCCUCUGUCACCUGGAAUACUCCACUUGGUAACCAGCAUGAUCUUAUAACGCUAGUUUUACCCUUGUCAGCACUUUGCCAAAAACCUCAAAUAAAGACUUUUUUUAAAAUGUGCAAUGGAAAAAUAAAGUUAUAAAUUAUAUCAUAA
Molecule: long non-coding RNA, 491 nt
Organism: Homo sapiens (human)
Lineage: Eukaryota; Metazoa; Chordata; Mammalia; Primates; Hominidae
Exons: 1
Source: RefSeq, marked predicted